Long non-coding RNA from Paramormyrops kingsleyae, 993 nucleotides. RefSeq lists it as uncharacterized. The record is from RefSeq and is a predicted model, not a curated record. Lineage: Eukaryota; Metazoa; Chordata; Actinopteri; Osteoglossiformes; Mormyridae.
AUUAUAUUUGCGCGGCACGCUCUGCAUCUGCGUGCCCUGCUAACGUUAAUUUCCAUUGAUUCACACACACUCUAACAAACGAAAAUGUCCGCCAAUUCUGCCAUUAUCAAGUUUGCUUAUAGAAAUCACCAGGAAUUUAUCAGCGCUGCAUUUAAAAAGCAACACAGGGCAGACUGCAAAUUCUGCAAAGCAACAAUUUCGGAAACCUGUGGGACAACGUCAAACUUCGUCAGACACCUGCAGAGGAAUCAUACAUCGCGGAGGCCGUAGUUAGUGGAGAGAGCAGUGGAUGGUGAGAGACAGUCCUGCUGGACGUGUGACUGGGCCGUCUCAUCGGAACAGAACCCCGCAGACACAACAAGGACGUCCCCCCCCUGCAUGUUACAGAAAUGGAACGUGCCGCCGGUGUAUCCAGAGAGCACCGUAACAGCAGAGCCCAACUGACCUCAGCGUUUUCUGGGUUUUGGUGCGACUGGCAGGUGUCCCCUCCAGAGUCAUCGAGCCACCAGCAGCGGCAUCCUCUGAGGCUCUCAGAGCUACCUGGAGUUCAAAGUCACCUCUGAACUGACCAGCCAAGCAUUUGGGUCUCCUACAGCAGAGCCGGCCGUUAAGGGCAAGUAGCUGGGUGGUUCUCUCUCCAUCAGAAAGUAUAUCUUCUGUGCUUUGAGUGUGUGUGAAUGUGUGAAUGUCUGUAUAUAUGUGUGUGUUUGUCUACACAUGUAUGUCUGUGGCUAUAUGUCUGUGUGUUUUUGUCUAUAUGGGUAUGUAUUUUUGAUUAUGUGUUUGUGUGUGCGUGUUGAUGUCUAUAUACAGUGUGUCUCAGUGUGUGUAUUGUCAUGUUUAUAUACAAUUUGUCUGUCUAUAUGAGUCUAUUUAUAUGUGUGUGCUUCUGCAUAGAUGCAUGUGUUUGUGUCUGUGUGCUGUGUGUAUAUUUGUGUCUAUAUACUGUGUGUGUGUUUUGUCUAUAUACUGUGUGUGUGUUUUGUCUAUAUG